UGCGUAGGUGGCAUGUUAAGUUUGAUGUGAAAGCUCAGGGCUUAACCCUGAAAUGGCAUUGAAUACUAGCGUGCUGGAGGUUUGGAGGGGGGGACUGGAAUUCUCGGUGUAGCAGUGAAAUGCGUAGAUAUCGAGAGGAACACCAGUGGCGAAGGCGAGUCCCUGGACAACACCUGACACUGAGGCACAAAGCCGGGGAGCAAACA
Molecule: ribosomal RNA, 206 nt
Filed under: uncultured bacterium
Lineage: Bacteria
Description: partial 16S ribosomal RNA
Rfam family: Bacterial small subunit ribosomal RNA
Source: RNAcentral